ACAGCCGUUGCACACGAGUCAGUCGAUCCUAAGCCCUAGGAGAAAUCCGAAACGAUGGUCUUGUUUCUAGCAAAUUCAAUUCCAUUGGGCGAAAGGGAAUCCGGUU
This 106-nucleotide ribosomal RNA is filed under the name Galloisiana yuasai. RNAcentral describes it as "partial 28S ribosomal RNA". The record is from RNAcentral. Lineage: Eukaryota; Metazoa; Arthropoda; Insecta; Grylloblattodea; Grylloblattidae.